Molecule: ribosomal RNA, 406 nt
Filed under: uncultured bacterium
Lineage: Bacteria
Description: bacterial SSU rRNA
Rfam family: Bacterial small subunit ribosomal RNA
Source: RNAcentral
UUUUGGACAAUGGGCGCAAGCCUGAUCCAGCCAUGCCGCGUGAGUGAAGAAGGCCUUCGGGUUGUAAAGCUCUUUCCCCCCCCGACGAAACGGUUCGUGCUAAUACCACGGACUACUGACGGUACCCGCAGAAGAAGCACCGGCUAACUACGUGCCAGCAGCCGCGGUAAUACGUAGGGUGCAGGCGUUAAUCGGAAUUACUGGGCGUAAAGCGUGCGCAGGCGGUUUGUUAAGACAGGUGUGAAAUCCCCGGGCUUAACCUGGGAAUUGCGCUUGUAACUGGCAGACUGGAGUGUGGCAGAGGGGGGUGGAAUUCCAAGUGUAGCAGUGAAAUGCGUAGAUAUUUGGAGGAACACCGAUGGCGAAGGCGAGCCCCCUGGGCUAACACUGACGCUCAUGCACGAAA